RNAcentral lists this long non-coding RNA (2211 nucleotides) under Homo sapiens (human). Its description in RNAcentral is "non-protein coding lnc-METTL21C-3:3". The record is from RNAcentral. Lineage: Eukaryota; Metazoa; Chordata; Mammalia; Primates; Hominidae.
GAGUCUGAGGACAUUACUGGAGGGUUCGGAUCUCGAACCUGGGGCCUUGAAGAGGCCCGCGCUUGGGGUUUUUAGGCAACAGCAGGCCUCCAAGCAGAGUCCUGGUGUCCCGGACCGAAUCACUCCCCGAGAGACGGGCAAGGAGAUGGACCGCCAGCCAGGAAUAAUGGGAACCCUUCGCUUGGCAAACGAUAGUUUCCAAACUUAAGGUUGUGGAUGAAACUUUUUGGUGCGGCUGCUGCAGGAGCCCCAGCCCCGGGGUGCUGCUGACCCGAGGCAAGGGAGCCGGCGCACUCACGCUUAGCCGCUAAGGAGUCUGCGGUGUCGGCGAAAGCUCCGGACAUGAUUUUGGAAGGUCGUAGGUUAAGGGGUGUAGACUUUGGGUUCCCCUGUGUUGUUAUGCCCCUUUGAUGGGGGUGAGGUGGUGAGGGGGAGCAAUAGGGUGGAGACAGGCAAUAGUUUCAGUCAACAGGAAGUGGGUUGUUGGUCAUUCCGUCGCCUUUGUAGCCAGUAACAAAGCACGAGACUGAAAUGGGCCCCUCCUAUCCUCUGCUGAUCCUUAGCUUCCGGGAUUUCUGAAAAACAUCUUUUUUUUUCCUCUUACACUGAAGUUUCUGAUUGCUCCUUACGGCUGUCCACUCAAUUAUAGAGCCAUAAUUUUCAGUUUUCCAGAUUCACAGUGCCUGCCGUCAGUUGCUGCAAGCUGCAUAGUGGUCCUCUAAUGAUCUUUAUGUCUAUGCUCAUGCCAGGGUAAUCUUAGCCUUUUAUUGUGCCGAAGACCCCUUUGGCAAUCUGGUGAGGCCUAUUUCUCAAGCAGUGUUUUAAAAUGCAUACAAUGAAAUAGAUAGGAUUACCCAGGAAAUAAAUUAUGUUUAAAUGCAGUUAUCAAAAAUACUAAAGGCAAUUUUGUUAUAUAGCAGGAGCUUUACGUGUGUGUGUAUAGUUACAGGUGUACUUCUUUUGCAUUAAAUAACAGGAGCUAGGGCCAAGGCUAAUAAACUACCAUAACUUCAAAAUAGUGAAGAAUAUAAUUAUUUGGAGAUAGCGGUGAAAACUGCACUACGAUGAACUGAUUUUUAUUGGUGACAUAACAGCAUAACUACCCUGGUUUUUGCCUACAUUCAUACUUGAUGUGAAAAAAAUUAAGAGAUACGGGGUUUCUCCAUGUUGAUGUCAGACUGGUCUCGAACUCCCGACCUCAGGUGAUCCACCCGCCUCGGCCCCCCAAAGUGCUGGCAUUACAAGCGUGAAUCACUGCGCCCGGCCUAUCAUAAAUUUUAAAAAUUAUAAAGGAUGUAAUUUCUGGCAUAGUAUAAAUAUCGUCAUUAUUUAAUGAAACUUUCACGUUUCUCAUGUAAAUAUACCCAGUUGAGUGUAACUCUGAUAGCUACCAUCAACUAUUUAUAAAAUAUCUGAACACUUAAAAGCAGACAUUUUAUAUCACUAUUUCUUCUGGAAACUUUAUUUCCAUUCUAUAUGGAAUUUUUUCUCAUUGUAAUUUGCAUUUAUAAUGGAAAGGCAUAUUGAUAAUGUAUCAUCAUCUGCAAUAAAAAUAUAUUAAUUUUAAAAAUUUUCCUGGAAGAAAAAUGUUAAACUUAUUCUUUUGGGUUAUCUUUCAGUUAUUACAAAGUUGAUUACAACAACAUGAGUAAGUCUUAAGCUUUGAUUAAAAAUUACAGGACAAAAAAAUUUUUAUUGAAAAUAGAGCUCUUAAAAAGAUGCUUGGUAUAAAUAAGUCAUGCUUCUGUUAAUGACAGGACUAGUUAAAAGGAUAAGAUUUGUAUGUCUGUGUCUCUUGUAAAAUUGAAUCAUCAAUUCUUAAGAAGCGAAACCAGGAUAUAUAAGUAUUACAUAAUAUGCCCAGAAAGUAAUGUGAACAAAAUUCAGACGUACGUUGAAGCUCCCAUUUUAAGAAUCACUCAUAUGACAAAUGUCAUCUUUUGCUCUAUAACCUUUGCUUAAAUUGUAGAAAAGAUGGAUUUAAUGAGACAAAUGAAAAGUGGUUUAACAUAACACACAGCAGAGCAUAUGCUGUUAUGCUUUGGUGUUUGUUCCCUAGCCCUUGUUCCUCAUAAUAGAUUGUGGAAUGUUUCAAAAAUGCUGUAACUUUUUUUUGCUAAUUGUGGUCUUAACAAAAAUUGUUCUUGAUUUUAAAAAAAGAUGGAUAGGAUUGGUUAUUGAACUUUGAUAUUAAAUAAAGUUUUAGUGAUA